Molecule: non-coding RNA, 225 nt
Filed under: Clostridium sp.
Lineage: Bacteria; Bacillati; Bacillota; Clostridia; Eubacteriales; Clostridiaceae
Description: T-box sequence
Rfam family: T-box leader
About the family: Uncharged tRNA acts as the effector for transcription antitermination of genes in the T-box leader family. T-boxes are found upstream of many aminoacyl-tRNA synthetase genes and some amino acid biosynthetic genes usually in Gram-positive bacteria.
Source: RNAcentral
GUAAAGACUGUGAAAAGGAAGAGUAAGAAUAUUGAACUUUAACAGAGAGUGGGGGAAGGUGAGAGCCCAUAAAGGAAUAUAUUCUGAAAAUCACCUUUGAGUCGUAGGCUGAAGGAUAGAGCUUAAAGUUUGCUUUAGCUAUUUAUCUUGUAGGCUUCACCGGCACAGGCCGUUAUUUAUGGAGUAUAAUAUUGGGUGGCACCGCGGAUAGUUUUCGCCCCAAGC